Molecule: unclassified non-coding RNA, 224 nt
Filed under: Hevea brasiliensis (rubber tree)
Lineage: Eukaryota; Viridiplantae; Streptophyta; Magnoliopsida; Malpighiales; Euphorbiaceae
Source: RNAcentral
GAACGAAAACGGCUCGUUUCUUCCUGGUCGCAGGGCAAAAGGCUCAAGGUUAAGGCAAGGUUGGAUAUUGGAAGUUUAAACUUGAGUCUUGAUAGAUCUGGAACUUAUAUGAAGUGAAUGCUGAUAUUUUGUUUGUUUCAAACUCAGCUUAUGGUACACAUGGUGUUUCUUAAGCGUUUGAUGGUGUGCCGCUUUUUAAUACUGUGGAAUACCACAACUUGUGG